CUUCCAGUCACUGUUCCAUCUCCCUUCAUCCCCUCCAGGAAGCCCGCACUGCCACGCACGUCUACUCUAAUUUAACAGAGAUUAGCAGAGGAAACCCGUCUGUUGCUCUUGUUUCGACCCCUCCUUCCACCCCUGCUCUGUGGUCGGUUUGAUCUCCGUCCUUGGCCGUCAGCUGGUGAACAGAACUAUUUUGGGUGGGUGCGAGGGGAUUUUUCGGCCUGUUGAUUGUACUGAGUCAUAGGGAUUGGCUCUGCUUUUCAGCUGGAGGAUGCAGGGAGAGUAGAAGCACUUUCUGGUGCUAAAAUAAGGGAACUUGCACAGCUCCAUCCAUAUGCAAUGAUGACAAAACUGGGAACAAAUUCAACACUUAUCUUGCACGCCUAUGCAGCCACUAGAUGGUGGAGCCACUCUUAAUUCAAAAAGAGACUAACUGGGAGAGCAGAGGAGAACUGGAGGUGCUGGAGCAUAUUUGAACAGAUUUGGGGAUUGUUAAAAACCAGUACCCACACCUCCACCAUGGCCCGGUUUCUCCUGGCAGGCCUUAAUCUCUCUCCCUAAUCGGCUGGAGACGUGAGGCUUUGCCAUUCCCCACAGGGCUGCGCAUGGGAUGUGGCCAAGUUUUCAGAGUGAGCGGCGGAGGUACUCGGUGCAACAAUGACAGAGGCGUUUGUCACUCCUCAGGUAAAGAGAACUCAGAGAACAGAAUCUGCUGCUGAAGAAGGGAAGCUGAGGUCAUGCUACAUCACGCCUAAAUGUUAGCAGAACUAGAGAACCCGCAGUAACCAGCUGAUCCAGCCACUUGUGUGCAGCAUCAAACGCACAACAACACUUUGAUUCUCUAAAGGGAGUCUUCCUCAAGGUUCCUAUUGUGGACCCGAGUCAUAAUAAACACACAUAAACAGCUCUGGCUUUCAUGUCGUCCUUAUAAAAGAGGAAUAAAUAAGUACAAUCCACUUCAGUGAGGGCCUUUGUGGGGAGGAAGCAGCUGGAGAUGGCACCGGGCCCUGGUAUUGUUUGCCAGCGGCUCCCAAAUCGGACCACGGUGCCUAGCUGACGUCACCCAUAUGAACGUGACAGGCGUGAGUCUGAAAGUGCUCCUGUCGUCAUUUCGGGUCACUUCAGAGUUCUGUUUACGCCUCUUCGUAUGAUCAGGCUUCUCAUGUAACCAGAAAUGGUCCAAAUACCUUUGAUAAUUUCCUCAGAAAAACAGAGAUCAAACAAAAUUUCGUGUUUAGUGAGGAAGGAAAUUGCGCGUGUCUCUGAGGUUUAGCUGUUGAAAACUCACCUCUUGUAUGGGACUUGCUUUAGAGGAUUUCUGGGCCUGAAUAUCGAACAAUAUGGUAUUUUUCUCGCUCCCUUUCUCUGCCCUGAGUUGGUGUUUUCUUGCUAAUUCUGCCUCUCCCUUAGAUGUGGUUCAAGCUAUUUACAAAUCCAACUUUUGGAAUGAGUGUCCAACUCCCUUUCGUCUGGGAUUAGAUAGAAAGCGAGCGGGAUGAGGGAUGGGGAGGGAGCGGAUCAUAGCACACACAGUGCUGCUGAGGACAAACUUGAAAGGAUUAGAGAGGGGGGAGAAAAUACAAAAAAUGUCUAGCAAGAAAUAAAAGUGCGUGUUAUUUGUUGUCGGCCACAAAGUGAGAUCAGUGGAGCUUCAAAGGACAUCUGAUUAGUGCUGUGAAGUCACCAGAUACUGUCAGGAAAAAGUGUGGCCAAGGAGCUGUAUGGGAUAUUUACUGAUACACAGAGCAUGGCUUCAGCUCAGUGCCAGCUGGCAGCAGAUACUGAGAAGUUGACUGAGAAAGUGUAUGGGAGGCCAGCAACGAUGAUAAAACUAAAAGAAAAGGGAGAGGUAUGUUUUAAGUUAAAGCAUAUGAAAGCUCACAGCGAAAUAAGGUGGUGCUCAUUAGU
Molecule: long non-coding RNA, 1905 nt
Organism: Acanthochromis polyacanthus (spiny chromis)
Lineage: Eukaryota; Metazoa; Chordata; Actinopteri; Pomacentridae
Exons: 3
Source: RefSeq, a predicted model, not a curated record